UAAGGGUUCCUGGGUCAAGCUGAUCUGCCCAGGGUAAGUCGGGACCUAAGGCGAGGCCGACAGGCGUAGUCGAUGGACAACCGGUUGAUAUUCCGGUACCCGCUUUGAAACGCCCAAUAUCGAAUCAGGCGAUGCUAAGUCCGUGAAGCCGUCCUGGAUCCUUCGGGUGAAGGGGAGUGGUGGAGCCGACGAACCAGAGUUGUAGUAGGUAAGCGAUGGGGUGACGCAGGAAGGUAGUCCAGCCCGGGCGGUGGUAGUCCCGGGGUAAGGGUGUAGGCCGUGUGGUAGGCAAAUCCGUCACACAUUAAGGCUGAGACCUGAUGCCGAGCCGAUUGUGGUGAAGUGGAUGAUCCUAUGCUGUCGAGAAAAGCCUCUAGCGAGUUUCAUGGCGGCCCGUACCCUAAACCGACUCAGGUGGUCAGGUAGAGAAUACCGAGGCGUUCGGGUGAACUAUGGUUAAGGAACUCGGCAAAAUGCCCCCGUAACUUCGGGAGAAGGGGGGCCAUUUCCGGUGAUGGAAUUUACUUCCUGAGCUGGGGGUGGCCGCAGAGACCAGCGAGAAGCGACUGUUUACUAAAAACACAGGUCCGUGCGAAGCCGUAAGGCGAUGUAUACGGACUGACGCCUGCCCGGUGCUGGAACGUUAAGGGGACCGGUUAGC
Molecule: ribosomal RNA, 661 nt
Filed under: Streptomyces blastmyceticus
Lineage: Bacteria; Bacillati; Actinomycetota; Actinomycetes; Kitasatosporales; Streptomycetaceae
Description: bacterial LSU rRNA
Rfam family: Bacterial large subunit ribosomal RNA
Source: RNAcentral